UGGGGUGUAUAAAGUAGAUACUUACUCAGCACUGUCGGCGAAAAUAGAUUCCUUAUUCCAUAAGGUUGAAAGCAUUUCACAAACCGCCACUGCUAAGCAAGUUAUGAAGCAGAGUUGUGAAGAAUGUGGAGCAGAUCACAGUACUGCUACUUGCCCAAUUUUGGCACAAGGAGUAGAACAUGCAGAAUUCGCACAAUGGGGUCAGCGCCAGCAGAAUAACCCACAUUCAGAAACCUUCAAUCAAGGCUGGAGAAAACACCCAAAUUUCUCUUGGAGCAACCAGAAUCAAAA
This 291-nucleotide long non-coding RNA is filed under the name Olea europaea (common olive). RNAcentral describes it as "long non-coding RNA (OEUR_LNC008557)". The record is from RNAcentral. Lineage: Eukaryota; Viridiplantae; Streptophyta; Magnoliopsida; Lamiales; Oleaceae.